CAGAAGACCCCUCUCCAUAUGUAGAAAGAGUUGUUUUUCUUUAUCUUCUCUUCUGCCUAUUAAACCUCCGUUCCUAAACUCCUGGUGUGUGUCUGGUCCUAAAUUUCCCUGGCAUGAGACGACGAACCCUAGGGAACAUUUGACUGGUGUGGGGAAAAAAUGCCUCAGAUGAGCACAUCGCACAACUUCAGUAAACACACUGCUCAUGUGGCCCCUCUCAAGUGCUGACAGGCCACUGUGUGUUUGGACAGCCCCCGCAAGGAAAGAAUCAAGGGAGAGGAAACACAAACCCUGGAACCAUGCCAGUGUAUAAAACCCCUAUUUGGCCAGGAGUGGUGGCUCACACCUGUAAUCCCAGCACUUUGGGAGGCUGAAGUGGGUGGAUCACAAGGUCAAGAGAUCGAGACCAUCCUGGCCAACAUGGUGAAACCCCAUCUGUACUAAAAAUAUAUAAGUUAGCUGGGCCUGGUGGCAUGCGCCUGUAGUCCCAGCUACUCGGGAGGCUGAGGCAGGAGAAUUGCUUGAACCUGAGAGGCAGAGGUGGCAGUGAGCCAAGAUUGCACCACUGCACUCCAGCCUGGUGACAGAGCGAGACUCCAUCUCAAAAAAAAAAAGAAAAGAAAAUUCAAGGAUUGGAUGGGGCACUUAGAUCUCUCAAGUCACCUGCUUGGCCUUCUUCCAAGUGUAAUUUGCUUCCUUUUGUUCUUGCUCUAAAGCUUUUUAAUAAACUCUCACUCCUGCCCUAAACUUGCCUUAUUCUCUCACUCUGCCUUAUGCCCCUUUGCUGAAUUCUUUCCUUUGAGGAAGCAAGAAUCAAGUUUGCUGCAGACCCAUCGGAUUCUUACUGCCAAUACAGACAUGCCUCAUUAUACUCUCCUCCCUUUAGAAUUCAGGCACAAUUGACCAGCAUUAACAUUAAAACAGAGAUCUUAAGACUGUCAAAACAGACA
This 950-nucleotide long non-coding RNA is filed under the name Homo sapiens (human). Its description in RNAcentral is "HSALNT0121502". The record is from RNAcentral. Lineage: Eukaryota; Metazoa; Chordata; Mammalia; Primates; Hominidae.